GACGGAGGAUGCAAGUGUUAUCCGGAAUCACUGGGCGUAAAGCGUCUGUAGGUGGUCAAAUAAGUCAACUGUUAAAUCAUGAGGCUCAACCUCGAAAUCGCAGUCGAAACUAUUAGACUAGAGUAUAGUAGGGGUAAAGGGAAUUUCCAGUGGAGCGGUGAAAUGCGUAGAGAUUGGAAAGAACACCGAUGGCGAAGGCACUUUACUGGGCUAUUACUAACGAUCAGAGACGAAAGCUAGGGUAGCAAAUGGG
This 253-nucleotide ribosomal RNA is filed under the name uncultured bacterium. Its description in RNAcentral is "partial 16S ribosomal RNA". It matches the Rfam family "Bacterial small subunit ribosomal RNA", at positions 524 to 776 of the family's 1533-position model. The record is from RNAcentral.